GAUAAAUUUUUACUGAGAGUCGUAUAGGAAUCUAUAAUCUAGUACUUUCGAAAAUACGCCGAGAGUAUUCCUGAUGGUGAAACGAGCGUUGCUUCAUCGAACGCAGCUAAAGAAAACAACAUCUAUGUAGUUGGUGGUACGAUGCCUGAAAUAGAGGGCGAUAAAUUGUACAAUACCUGUACUAUUUGGGGUCCCGAUGGAACUUUGAUAGCAAAACACCGAAAGGUACAUCUAUUCGACAUCGACAUUCCUAAUAAGAUUACUUUUCGAGAGAGUGAUUCACUCAGUCCUGGUAACUCCCUAACGACGUUCGACGUGAAGGGCUGCAAAAUAGGUAUUGGCAUUUGCUAUGAUAUUAGAUUCGAGGAAAUGGCACGCAUUUAUCGUAACAAAGGUUGCCAAAUGCUGAUAUAUCCAGCGGCAUUCAAUAUGACCACUGGACCACUGCACUGGUCAUUACUUAAGCGUUCCAGAGCGAAUGAUAAUCAAUUAUACGUUGCCUGCAUAUCAUCGGCUCGUGUUCCUUCAGCAAGUUACGUCGCAUGGGGGCAUACACAGUUGACCAAUCCCUGGGGAAAGAUUCUUUACGAUUUGGAAACUCAAGAGAAUAUGGCAGUCACCGAUAUCAAAAAAAAAAAAAAAAAAAAAAAAAAAUGAGGCAUACUAUAUAAGAUUGUCAUCGAUUUAAAAUCAAAGUAUGAAAAGGAUACCCUGGAGAGAGUAAAACACAGAAUCAUUCCAACUAAACAUUCAGAUCGUACCGACACCUAGCUUCAACAUCUUCAAUAUCGAGGAGAUUCAAACUUUACAAAUAAAUGUAAAUUGCGAUGUAAAACAAAGCGAUGUAAAAAGGGAAAAAGGAGGAAAGAAGGAACAGGGAAGUAAAGAGAAGAAACGAAUUUUUCAUUUUCUCGAAACUGGAUCAAGUUUCAGGAAGACCAUCCAAGUAAUUGAUGUCCUCUGUAAUUAUUUGUUAAUCAUGCGCGGAAUCAGAACGAUUCGACCUCGUUCCAAAGCAAAUCGUUACUAGAGUAGAGACGGGAAUUAAUAAUUCGUGUCAAUUGUUCGAUCGUGUUCACAAAUUCAAAUGCGGUUGAGUGGCGGAAACCAUUUAUAACACGUCCCAUACAGCGUAGAUCGCAUACACGUCUUAGGAUGUAUUUUUGGUACUUAUAUAUACUCUAUAUAUAUAUUCUUACCCUAUAUAUACUUAUAUGUACUCUAUAUAUAUUCUCUAUCUUAGAUAUACCAUAAAAUAUUUCGUGAAAUCGCG
Bombus huntii is the source of this 1273-nucleotide RNA transcript. It is a transcript of the gene named omega-amidase NIT2-like, with no coding region annotated. The transcript has 5 exons. Lineage: Eukaryota; Metazoa; Arthropoda; Insecta; Hymenoptera; Apidae. The record is from RefSeq and is a predicted model, not a curated record.